AUUGAACGCUGGCGGCAUGCCUUACACAUGCAAGUCGAACGCGAAAGCGGGGCAACCCGCAAGUAGAGUGGCGAACGGGUGAGUAAUACAUCGGAACGUACCCAGUAGCGGGGAUAACCUCUCGAAGAGAGGCUAAUACCGCAUACGACCUACGGUGGAAGAGGGGAGUCGCAAGACCUCUCACUAUUGGAGCGGCCGAUGUCGGAUUAGCUAGUUGGUGGGGUAACGGCCACCAAGGCGACGAUCCGUAGCUGGUCUGAGAGGACGGCCAGCCACACUGGAACUGAGACACGGUCCAGACUCCUACGGGAGGCAGCAGUGGGGAAUUUUGGACAAUGGGCGCAAGCCUGAUCCAGCCAUGCCGCGUGAGUGAAGAAGGCCUC
This 383-nucleotide ribosomal RNA is filed under the name uncultured bacterium. Its description in RNAcentral is "bacterial SSU rRNA". It matches the Rfam family "Bacterial small subunit ribosomal RNA", at positions 29 to 418 of the family's 1533-position model. The record is from RNAcentral.